Molecule: ribosomal RNA, 888 nt
Filed under: Triticum aestivum (bread wheat)
Lineage: Eukaryota; Viridiplantae; Streptophyta; Magnoliopsida; Poales; Poaceae
Description: partial small subunit ribosomal RNA
Source: RNAcentral
AUGUGCUGUCCUGUGCUAGAUGUUGCUUUUGAAUCGUACCAAAUUGGACACCAUGCUACACGAGCAGUACCCGUAGCAAAUACUGAUGACUUCAUAUACCGAAACCUACCUACAAAGCAACAUGUCCUAAGAAAGGUUGUGGACUGUCGCCACUGUGGGGCGUUGCGGUUUCCAUUCGAGGGGCCAGCAUUUUAUUGCAGAAAAGGAAAAGUCGAUUUGUUUACUCCAGAUGUUCCAGAAGAGUUGAAACGGUUGUUUACAAGUCAAGAUGAUGAGGACGCUAAGUAUUUCAGAGAACAUAUACGGUAUUUCAACUCGCACUUCUCAUUCACAAGUCUAGGCGUCACUCUAGAUCGACGAGUAAGCACUGCGGCAGGAACUGGCAUAUAUACAUUCCGUGCGUGUGGUGGGCUGUACCACGCUCUUGACAAUCUAGUGCCGGCUGAUAAUGGCCCUGGGCAUUUGCAACUCUAUAUUUAUGAUACAGAUCAAAACUUGGUUCACAGGGCUAAUAGGUCUCCAGAUCUUAAUAUAGACCUCAUACGGCAGAUUCUGAGAAUACUACAGCGUAACCCUUAUGCGCAAGUUUUUAAGAGCCUUGGGUCUGUUCCGAAUCUACAUGAGUAUAGAAUCUCGAUAAACACGGAUAUCAAGUUGGAUCAACGAAGGUACAAUGCCCCAACAAGUUCCCAAGUGGCAGCCAUAUGGGUUGAAGGGAGUGACCCACAUAACUGCUUUGACAGGAGUGUUGUUGGUCUUGUUGACACCGUCGUUGUCGGCGAGUCACGUGGAGAUCGAAUUGGCAAAAGAAUUGUGCUUACACGUACAUUUCCUGGUGGUGAUCGCGACAUGCAGCGGAGGUUCUUGGAUGCUAUGGCAAUAGUGUAG